UACGUAGGGUGCAAGCGUUAAUCGGAAUUACUGGGCGUAAAGCGUGCGCAGGCGGUUAUGCAAGACAGAUGUGAAAUCCCCGGGCUUAACCUGGGAAUUGCAUUUGUGACUGCACGGCUAGAGUGUGUCAGAGGGGGGUAGAAUUCCACGUGUAGCAGUGAAAUGCGUAGAUAUGUGGAGGAAUACCGAUGGCGAAGGCAGCCCCCUGGGAUAACACUGACGCUCAUGCACGAAAGCGUGGGGAGCAAACAGG
This 253-nucleotide ribosomal RNA is filed under the name uncultured bacterium. RNAcentral's name for it is "partial 16S ribosomal RNA". It matches the Rfam family "Bacterial small subunit ribosomal RNA", at positions 524 to 776 of the family's 1533-position model. The record is from RNAcentral.